RNAcentral lists this ribosomal RNA (292 nucleotides) under uncultured bacterium. RNAcentral describes it as "partial 16S ribosomal RNA". It matches the Rfam family "Bacterial small subunit ribosomal RNA", at positions 503 to 796 of the family's 1533-position model. The record is from RNAcentral.
UUGUUAGCAGCCGCGGUAAUACGAAGGACCCGAGCGUUAUCCGGAUUUAUUGGGUUUAAAGGGUGCGCAGGCGGACUAAUAAGUCAGUGGUGAAAGCCUGAUGCUUAACAUCAGAACUGCCAUUGAUACUGCUAGUCUUGAGUACGGUUGAGGUGGGCGGAAUGUGUCAUGUAGCGGUGAAAUGCUUAGAUAUGACACAGAACACCAAUUGCGAAGGCAGCUCGCUAAACCGUAACUGACGCUGAGGCACGAAAGCGUGGGGAGCAAACAGGAUUAGAUACCCCCGUAGUCC